CCUACUCCACAGACACUACCUGAACCGUGGCUCCUGAUCCACUAAGACAGACAGACAGGAGGUCUGUUAUCUGGUUCACGGUAGACCUACUCCACAGACACUACCUGAACCGUGGCUCCUGAUCCACUAAGACAGACAGAGGAGGUCUGUUAUCUGGGCUGGUUGACCACCUUGGGGACAGGGCUCCUGAUCCACUAACACAGACAGAUGAGGCCUGUUAUCUGGGCUGGUUGACCACCUUGGGGACAGGGAUCCUGAUCCACUAACACAGACAGAUGAGGCCUGUUAUCUGGGCUGGUUGACCACCUUGGGGACAGGGAUCCUGAUCCAAUAACACAGACAGAUGAGGUCUGUUAUCUGGGCUGGUUGACCACCUUGGGGACAGGGCUCCUGAUCCACUAACACAGACAGAUGAGGCCUGUUAUCUGGGCUGGUUGACCGCCUUGGGGACAGGGAUCCUGAUCCAAUAACACAGACAGAUGAGGCCUGUUAUCUGGGCUGGUUGACCACCUUGGGGACAGGGAUCCUGAUCCAAUAACACAGACAGAUGAGGUCUGUUAUCUGGGCUGGUUGACCACCUUGGGGACAGGGAUCCUGAUCCACUAACACAGACAGAUGAGGCCUGUUAUCUGGGCUGGUUGACCACCUUGGGGACAGGGAUCCUGAUCCAAUAACACAGACAGAUGAGGCCUGUUAUCUGGGCUGGUUGACCACCUUGGGGACAGGGAUCCUGAUCCACUAACACAGACAGAUGAGGUCUGUUAUCUGGGCUGGUUGACCACCUUGGGGACAGGGCUCCUGAUCCAAUAACACAGACAGAUGAGGCCUGUUAUCUGGGCUGGUUGACCACCUUGGGGACAGGGAUCCUGAUCCAAUAACACAGACAGAUGAGGUCUGUUAUCUGGGCUGGUUGACCACCUUGGGGACAGGGAUCCUGAUCCACUAACACAGACAGAUGAGGCCUGUUAUCUGGGCUGGUUGACCACCUUGAGGACAGGGAUCCUGAUCCACUAACACAGACAGAUGAGGCCUGUUAUCUGGGCUGGUUGACCACCUUGGGGACAGGGCUCCUGAUCCACUAACACAGACAGAGGAGGUCUGUUAUCUGGACUGGUUGACCACCUUGAGGACAGGGAUCCUGAUCCACUAACACAGACAGAUGAGGUCUGUUAUCUGGGCUGGUUGACCACCUUGAGGACAGGGAUCCUGAUCCACUAACACAGACAGAUGAGGCCUGUUAUCUGGGCUGGUUGACCACCUUGAGGACAGGGAUCCUGAUCCACUAACACAGACAGAUGAGGCCUGUUAUCUGGGCUGGUUGACCACCUUGGGGACAGGGAUCCUGAUCCACUAACACAGACAGAUGAGGCCUGUUAUCUGGGCUGGUUGACCACCUUGGGGACAGGGCUCCUGAUCCACUAACACAGACAGAUGAGGCCUGUUAUCUGGGCUGGUUGACCACCUUGGGGACAGGGAUCCUGAUCCACUAACACAGACAGAUGAGGCCUGUUAUCUGGGCUGGUUGACCACCUUGGGGACAGGGAUCCUGAUCCACUAACACAGACAGAUGAGGCCUGUUAUCUGGGCUGGUUGACCACCUUGGGGACAGGGAUCCUGAUCCACUAACACAGACAGAUGAGGCCUGUUAUCUGGGCUGGUUGACCACCUUGGGGACAGGGAUCCUGAUCCAAUAACACAGACAGAUGAGGUCUGUUAUCUGGGCUGGUUGACCACCUUGGGGACAGGGAUCCUGAUCCACUAACACAGACAGAUGAGGCCUGUUAUCUGGGCUGGUUGACCACCUUGGGGACAGCGAUCCUGAUCCAAUAACACAGACAGAUGAGGUCUGUUAUCUGGGCUGGUUGACCACCUUGGGGACAGGGAUCCUGAUCCACUAACACAGACAGAUGAGGUCUGUUAUCUGGGCUGGUUGACCACCUUGGGGACAGGGAUCCUGAUCCACUAACACAGACAGAUGAGGCCUGUUAUCUGGGCUGGUUGACCACCUUGGGGACAGGGAUCCUGAUCCACUAACACAGACAGAUGAGGCCUGUUAUCUGGGCUGGUUGACCACCUUGGGGACAGGGAUCCUGAUCCACUAACACAGACAGAUGAGGCCUGUUAUCUGGGCUGGUUGACCACCUUGGGGACAGGGCUACUGAUCCACUAACACAGACAGAUGAGGCCUGUUAUCUGGGCUGGUUGACCACCUUGGGGACAGGGAUCCUGAUCCACUAACACAGACAGAUGAGGCCUGUUAUCUGGGCUGGUUGACCACCUUGGGGACAGGGCUACUGAUCCACUAACACAGACAGAUGAGGCCUGUUAUCUGGGCUGGUUGACCACCUUGGGGACAGGGCUACUGAUCCACUAACACAGACAGAUGAGGCCUGUUAUCUGGGCUGGUUGACCACCUUGGGGACAGGGAUCCUGAUCCACUAACACAGACAGAUGAGGCCUGUUAUCUGGGCUGGUUGACCACCUUGGGGACAGGGAUCCUGAUCCACUAACACAGACAGAUGAGGUCUGUUAUCUGGACUGGUUGACCACCUUGGGGACAGGGAUCCUGAUCCACUAACACAGACAGAUGAGGCCUGUUAUCUGGGCUGGUUGACCACCUUGGGGACAGGGAUCCUGAUCCACUAACACAGACAGA
Oncorhynchus mykiss (rainbow trout) is the source of this 2656-nucleotide non-coding RNA. NCBI's taxonomy places the organism in Eukaryota, Metazoa, Chordata, Actinopteri, Salmoniformes, Salmonidae. The record is from RefSeq and is a predicted model, not a curated record.